Molecule: unclassified non-coding RNA, 302 nt
Filed under: Hevea brasiliensis (rubber tree)
Lineage: Eukaryota; Viridiplantae; Streptophyta; Magnoliopsida; Malpighiales; Euphorbiaceae
Source: RNAcentral
GCAUCAAUCAUAUUCUCGGGGUGGAAGGCCUUGGUCCCAACAGGGAAGAGAGGCAAUAGCAAAGCAUAAUCAUGCUGAAUUCCUUAGCAGGUCAAUGAAAAUGAGCCCUGGAAGGAAGAUGUGGAGUAGCUUAAAAAGCUCAUCUGCUUGGUCCCACUCUCCUGUAAAAGGUUUAUUACAACCUGUUACUUGUGCUGGGACAAGAGAUCAGCAGGUUUAUUUGUCAACCUUCCACAAGACGCAAAAACGAAAGAGGUUCACAAAAGAAGAGUGGGAGGAUUUUACAAGGGAAUCAACCCAGC